AGUCUGAUGGGUAGGAUGUCGGUAUAUUAUAUUAUCAUUUUCUGGGAUCUCAUGCAUACACACACACGUUUUUACACAAAAUGACUAAAACUUUGAGAUUAUGUGAUGCAUACACUUUAUGAACAAUUUCUCACCAUAAAGGCAUUGGGAUGGUUUUCUUGUUAGCACAGUAAGUGUCUGUAUUGCCAAAAAGCUGAAAAUGAAUUAGCAGACAAGGAAGCAUUUAGGGCACUUCCUUGUUCCUUGUGGUCUGGGAUGGAGUUACAUGCCAUGUGACACUAAAGCCAAGUAGAUGUUUUGAAAGAAACCUACACACACUACACAGCUAUCUCACUGCUAUUUAACACUAUCCAUUUGGUGCUGAUUUAAAGACUAUGUAAAACUAGUCAACAAUUUCACAGUACUUUGACAUAACAAUGUGUCAGCUCAAUAGGGAGUCUUCAGUUGAACCUACUCACAAACGCAGAACUAAAGGCAUAGCUAACAUAAGAAAAACUACCUUCACUGUACCUCAGAUCACACUGAGAAAAAAGUAAAAGCGCCAAAUGUUAAUAGUUUACUUUAUUAUAGCUGGUAAAUUAGAUACAGUUGUUGUGAGAGUUAAAGCACAGGUUGUCCAGCCUGGAACUAAAAAAAAAACAUUAAAAUAAAUAAACAAACAAGACGCUCACAAAGCAAAGGGCUCAUUCAACUUGAAUUCAUAAAAUAAUAUCAAAUGGGUAAGAAAAUCACAAGCAAAAUAAUAGGCAAGGCUGCCCUUUUGAGUGUGCUGACUCCUUAGGCAAACUCGCUCCUACAGUGUACGGGAAGCUGCAGCCAUAGUCUAACCAAAAUAAGGACUUUGCACUAACACAAUAGUCCAUCCUGUUACAUGUCUGAUGUUUAAACGAUACCACUUAACACAUACCCCAUUCGGUAUUCGCACGGGCAGGUAUUAUUUACAUAGACCCAGAACACUGAGGCAAGAGACCGGAGAUAACGGUACAUAAAACUAUAAAAAAAUAUCAUGCAGAUUGACAAGAUGAAAAAAAAAAACACACAAAAAGUACAAGAGAGAAUUGAAAGAGGAAGUACUCUGAACAUAUGUGAGAGGACGAGGAUUAAGCAUUUUGAUAUUUUCCCACAGAGAGAAUGCAAACUUUUUUUGUCAGUUUACUGUUGCUGCUUUGGGCAGAAUUAGGUGGAUACUGAUUGAAAUCAGUUGCUGAAUUAUGUGGCAUUUUAGAGUUAAGAGUUGAAUGGUAGAUUCUUUACUUUCAGUAGUAUGACCAUGAAAUUAAGAGUGAUGCUAUUCUUAACUUUUCUUUAUGUUCAUUCCCUGUCCAGACUGCCAGCAUUGGUCUAAAGGUAAGCCUAUGUCUUCAUGUUAUAGGUCAUGACCAUUUUUACAUCAAAGUGACAUUAUGCAGAUUCAUGUAGUUUUCAAGGUAGGUUUUGUAGACUGGUAGUUCCUGAAUCCAUUUGGAUGAUACAUGGUCAUGUGAAUAAAUUAAACCUGGUAUUCCCCCUGUCUGUCCCGGCUGUUCACUACAUCGAUCGACACUCUGUGGACGUGUAAGAACAGCAUUUACUGCAUUACAUCUGCGAUUAUGACGGCAAAAGAUUAGUUAGAUAUUAGCUCUACCUGUGCAGUUGUUGGUGUUUAAUGUUGCAAUUAAGUCAUAUUGGUGACAGGUUAUCUAGUAUUUGGUGUAAAUACACUAAAUUGGAUGCAGUGAGACAAACUUGGUGGUGAAAAUCUACAGUAGCCUACUGUACGUAAGUGCUGCCCCGCAAAAACCUAUUUCUGUUCCUAGUGUAUGCUGAACAGACACUCACCACCAGAGUCCAACACCAGCUCUACAUAUUAAGGAGUAAGGAGCUUUACAACUCCGGGGCAAGCAAGGCCUUUUGCAUAUCACAAGCGAGAACUCAACGUAGUAGUGCGAGUUAUUAAAAAAAAUGAAAAGAUCAUAUGCAACUGUAAUGCUAUUGUUAUAUUCCUUUAAUACCUCUAAUAGUUCACUUUUAUUACCAGUAGAUAGAUGCCUUCACUUCAGCAUGUCUAUGAGAACAUCACAGAAUUCCUCAGGUCCUUAGCAUUGAGCCCAUAACAAUUAUGGAUAUGUUCACAACUGUAGUAAGAAUAGGUUUUUAUGCGCCAUACAUUGCUAUUUAAAAAAAAUAUUCUCUUUGAAUGUGAAGUCAUGCAUUCCUCAAAAAUAGAUCUUAUUCUAAACUCAGAUGUUAAAAUGAUGUAAUAUUAUCAAUUACAGUAUCUAUAAAUUAUGGUAUAUAGCUCUAUCAUAUGGCAAGCUAGUGUCGCAUAUUAUUUUAUUAAAUUGCAUUAUUAAGGUUCUUUAAAGUAACAAGAAUGGCAUCUGCCACAGCACGCCUGGUAUUGCACACCAUUUGGGGUACAGGGCGCUAGACCUCUGGAGAGAACAAUGUAAUGCUUUAUGGCCCCACCUCACACAACACCAACUAGACCCAUGCACUAGCUAUAAGAGGAAGAGUCCAUUCUCUGAGUGUUUUGUGAAUUUUGAUUGUUCUUUAUUUCAGCUUCAGGAUAUGAUUGGGCAACCCCAAGUAUGUGAUCACAUGGCCUUUAUCUCACAAUUGUACACAAUUCAUAUUUUGAAAUGUUAUGAUGAUAUAUGAAAUGUCUGGACGGUUCCAGAUGAAGUUCAUUCUUUCUAUAUUUCACAUUUCCUCAGUACUUGUACUUCACUUCCUCAGUAAAUGUUUUAUUUUGCACACAAUGUUUUAAAACUAUUCGUGAGACUCUGUCAUGACUGUUCUUUCUCUCAGCUCCAGGAUAUGACUGGGUCACCCCAAAUCCACAGCAGCACUGGAUGAGACCCACUCCACGGCAACACUGGAUGAGAGGCAGUAGGUUGAUGUUUAACAACAUACAGUACUUUACACUCUUUAAAUAGCCAGUAUGGACACAUUUAUAUUCAUAUUGAUUUUGUUUUAUUUUUAAUUCAAUGUUUUAACAAUUUGUGAAACUCUGUGCAUGUCCUGACUGUUAUUUAUCUCAAAUCCAGGAACCUCAAGUAUGUAACUCGCAUCACAUCACCUGCUUCUCACAUUUAUACCCAAUUAAAUAUUUAAAAUAUUCAGCCUAAAAUUAAAUUAUUUCUCUAUAUAUUUUAGGUCCAUGGAGGCACUGGAUGCAACCCACUCCAGGAUAUGAUUGGGCAACCCAAAAUCCACGGUGGCCCAGGAUUAGACCCAGUACGUUUAUGCUGAUCAACAUACUUCAUACAGACUCUUCAUAUAGUCAGUAUAGCCAAACAUUUGUGAGAUCUUUCAGCAAAUUACAGCAAGGUUUUGUCCAUGUCUUUCCACAGUUUCCAUUCAAGUGAUUUGAGAUAUUGUGUCAAGUGAUCACAUAUGACCUUUAAAAGGGCACUUCCUGAAAACUUUGUAAAUAACAAACAAACCCAAUGACUCAAAAACACAAUGAAUUACCUAGGGUUAUCAACUACCAAAUUUCUUGGUCCAAAGUGAUAUUGUAGUACAAAUAAAGUUCUACAUCCUG
Long non-coding RNA from Clupea harengus (Atlantic herring), 3526 nucleotides. RefSeq lists it as uncharacterized. The record is from RefSeq and is a predicted model, not a curated record. NCBI's taxonomy places the organism in Eukaryota, Metazoa, Chordata, Actinopteri, Clupeiformes, Clupeidae. The transcript is spliced from 5 exons.